RNAcentral lists this ribosomal RNA (253 nucleotides) under uncultured bacterium. RNAcentral's name for it is "partial 16S ribosomal RNA". It matches the Rfam family "Bacterial small subunit ribosomal RNA", at positions 524 to 776 of the family's 1533-position model. The record is from RNAcentral.
GACAGAGGGGGCAAGCGUUGCUCGGAAUUACUGGGCGUAAAGGGCGCGUAGGCGGGAUGGCAAGUCGGUCGUGAAAUCCCUCGGCUCAACCGAGGAACGUCGAUCGAUACUGCUGUUCUUGAGGAUUGCAGAGGAGAUUGGAAUUCCCGGUGUAGCGGUGAAAUGUGUAGAGAUCGGGAGGAACACCGGUGGCGAAGGCGGGUCUCUGGGCAAUUCCUGAUGCUGAGGCGCGAAAGCGUGGGGAGCGAACAGG